AUGGUUAAAUAUCCUGAUGCCCCUGUUAGGGAUGAGGAGACAGGGUCAUGUCAUUUUGCCUUCAAGGUCGGUGUCACGGCUGUGAGUACACCCCCGGACUCCUGCCUGUCGGUCCCUACGCCAACCACCCAGCAAUGCUCCUCCCUGAUGUCUAACAGCAGCCGCCACAAGUCUGCCUCGCUCACCUCCUGCACACGGGAGGAAAUAAACGGGCACAGUGUGCUCGCUGCCUCUGUAGGGCUGCUGUUCAGCCCUGCUGUGCCCUCAGGUAACCCGGGAAGAGUGGCUCCUGCAGGACACACGGGACCUUGCUGCCCGCAGGAUGAUGUCAGCUCGGGAAAUGAAGUGAGCGGCGACGAUGAGGAGGGCGAGCCAGCAGGCAGCGAGCGCUUCGUUUCGCAGGGGAGAGCAGGGUCUGAGAGCAGCAGCCUGGAAACUCCAGCUCUGAGCCCAGCAGAGGACACAAAUAAACGGAGCAGAAGACAUUCAGGGGAAAUGGAUCAGAAGCAGAGAUACCCACUGGAGAUCCUUCAUCUAAAGCAGCCAUAUGCAGAGAAACGGGGACACUCGGCCAAGAGCUUGGCUGCAAGGAGUUAAGGAAAAGGGGGAGGUUGUCCAGAGGUGCAUUUGGUGAUCAUAGGAUGAUCUCUGUAACCCUGGAUGCCCCUCAGAGCCACUCGUGCUGGGGGAAGGAUGGGACAGUCCCCACCUGCUCCCCAUGGGUUUUAAAUGGGAGGUUAGAUCUGGCUCUCUGAAAGCUGAGAGCUAAAAGACGAGGCAGGCUAUGUCUUCCACAGACAGAAAAAGGUGAGGUGUGCUAUUAGUAGUAACCCUAGGGCUAUUUCUGGGCCUCCUGAAUUAAAACUCCAGCUCCAGCCACCCAUCCUGCAGCCCAGACAGAGGAAUGAUCUCUCUUAGGCAGCAAACAAAAAGAUGCAUUUGCUGAGGGCUGAGAAACAAGGAGGGAAAUGUUGGUGCUGGAGGAUGAGGUUUCACAGGUAAACAGGCCAAGAAAGAGAAAAGUUAAGAAUAAACCUACGAGGAGCAGCCCUUGGUGCCUGCUCUCCCUGUCUCUCCCCUUUGUGCCUGUCCUUCUUAUUUCUUAUAUUUAUUAUUUAUUAUUAUUCCUUAUUCCUUAUUCAUUUCAUUUCUUAUUUCUUAUUUAAUUUUUACUUCUUAUUUUCCAACAUGGUCACCAACGAGAUGAGAUUCUCCAGAGAUGCUACACGGCACCUGCCCAUCCCUGGCUUAUGGGGAUAGGGAAGGAAACACCACCCCAUGUCCCCCAGUCUCCCCACAGCUCCUGGUACCCCACGUGUACCUGACUGUGCUCCUUGCUGGGAUGCUGGCUGGCCCUCGAGAAAACUAGAAAGUUCCUCUUGCUUCCCUUCCCUGGGUUUGCCCAGGACAGGCAGCUCUAUGGCAGAGGAGCCUUGGGUCUGCCAGUGGCUCUUCUAUGACAACACACUGCAUGUGGGAACGUGCAGCACAACCCUGGUGAGCAACUCACGGCACCCCAGAGCCAGGUGUAAACACCCUGAGAAGGCUGCACGAGGUGUUUUUGGGGCUACCACUCAAGGCCGCGCUGGAUGACAUCUCCAAUCUCCAACAGCUCUAAAGGUGCCAGCCUGACGGCUGUGACUGCAGGGUGGGAGGUGAAUAAGAAGUUGCAGGAGGUAAAUAAGAAGCACAUCCAGGCGAGGAGCACCUCAUCCAUGUACCAGACCAGCUCCUGCUUCUCCUCAGGCCUUGAUGUGGGAGAAGCCGUGCCCAGAGCUGCCCGGCAGCCCCUUCCGAGGCUCCGGCUGCUCUGCUUCUAUUUCACCACCACCAAGUCGGGUAAAACGUUUCUGUGCACAGGGGCUUUGGCGUGUUCCUGCCAAAAGCCUUUCCACUGACCUCUCCCACCUCCAAAGGGCCCGGUCAUGGAGGUGCGAGAAACUGGUGCUGUUUGCAGGAAAAGGCCAGAGCUACACCUGCUGCCAUCCCCCGUUUACACCCCCUCCCUGCCUCCUCCCCACCGUGAGCAAACACCUUUCAUCAGGGGGGGAAAUAAACAAGAAAUGAUGCAAAAUUUCCACUAAGAAAAUAAAAACUAAGCAAAGAAAAGGGAGAAGCUCUCUGCACGAGGUCCCUGGAGGUCGGGGAGCCCCCAGCCUUCCCCCCUGCCUGCCACCGAUCCUGUGGGCGCGGAGAACAUAACCUCCAAAGCAAAAAGGGGACCGGGAGCAGAAGUGCCCAGCCUGCCUUGCUUGACGUAAUCUCCCCGCCGGCUUCCAAGGUCAACAGCAAGCUGUUUGUAUGGCCCUGGACGAGAGGAGGCCUUCUGGGAGGAAAGCAAACAGAGGAGAUGUCCUCUGCCCGCACAAAAGGUGCUGUAUUCCUGUGUUGCCCCGUCCCCAGCUAGGAGGGACAUAAAAUUAGUG
RNAcentral lists this long non-coding RNA (2426 nucleotides) under Cairina moschata (Muscovy duck). Its description in RNAcentral is "domestica (muscovy Duck (domestic type)) lncRNA (ENSCMMG00000006142.1)". Lineage: Eukaryota; Metazoa; Chordata; Aves; Anseriformes; Anatidae. The record is from RNAcentral.